AGUGAACGCUGGCGGUAGGCCUAACACAUGCAAGUCGAACGGCAGCACAGUAAGAGCUUGCUCUUACGGGUGGCGGGUGGCGGACGGGUGAGGCAUACAUCGGAAUCUACUUUUUCGUGGGGGAUAACGUAGGGAAACUUACGCUAAUACAGCAUACGACCUACGGGUGAAAGCAGGGGUUCUUCGGACCUUGCGCGAUUGAUUGAGCCGAUGUCGGAUUAGCUAGUUGGCGGGGUAAAGGCCCACCAGGGCGACGAUCCGUAGCUGGUCUGAGAGGAUGAUCAGCCACACUGGAACUGAGACACGGUCCAGACUCCUACGGGAGGCAGCAGUGGGGAAUAUUGGACAAUGGGCGCAAGCCUGAUCCAGCCAUACCGCGUGAGUGAAGAAGGCCUUCGGGUUGUAAAGCCCUUUUGUUGGGAAAGAAAAGCAGCAGGUUAAUACCCCGCUGUUCUGACGGUACCCAAAGAAUAAGCACCGGCUAACUUCGUG
RNAcentral lists this ribosomal RNA (492 nucleotides) under uncultured bacterium. RNAcentral describes it as "partial 16S ribosomal RNA". It matches the Rfam family "Bacterial small subunit ribosomal RNA", at positions 29 to 507 of the family's 1533-position model. The record is from RNAcentral.